CUACGGGAUGCAGCAGUGAGGAAUAUUGCACAAUGGGGGGAACCCUGAUGCAGCAACGCCGCGUGGAGGAUGACGCAUUUCGAUGUGUAAACUCCUUUUAUAUGUCAAGAAAAUGACGGUAGCAUAUGAAUAAGCACCGGCUAACUCCGUGCCAGCAGCCGCGGUAAUACGGAGGGUGCAAGCGUUACUCGGAAUCACUGGGCGUAAAGGACGCGUAGGCGGGUUGGAAAGUCAGGUGUGAAAUCCUACAGCUUAACUGUAGAACUGCACUUGAAACUUCUAAUCUAGAGUAUGGGAGGGGGAGAUGGAAUUAGUGGUGUAGGGGUAAAAUCCGUAGAUAUCACUAGGAAUACCUAAAGCGAAGGCGAUCUCCUGGAACAUUACUGACGCUAAGGCGUAAAAGCGUGGGGAGCAAACAGGAUUAGAUACCCCGGUAGUC
This 439-nucleotide ribosomal RNA is filed under the name uncultured bacterium. RNAcentral's name for it is "partial 16S ribosomal RNA". It matches the Rfam family "Bacterial small subunit ribosomal RNA", at positions 339 to 795 of the family's 1533-position model. The record is from RNAcentral.